Non-coding RNA from Cinara cedri, 629 nucleotides. The record is from the annotation of a GenBank genome assembly. Lineage: Eukaryota; Metazoa; Arthropoda; Insecta; Hemiptera; Aphididae.
GUCUUUUAAAACAUAAAUCUAUAGCUCACAUAAAUAUUAUUAAACAAUUUUUUCUCAAAAUGCUUAUAAUAAAAACUACUAUAUUACACUAAACAAUUUUUUACCACAAAGUACAACUUAAAAUGAAUCUCCAGUUAAAUUGUCAAGUACCUAUAGUAUAGGUCCUAUAUCUAUUUGUGUUUGGUCAAACAAUUUACUCCACAUAGUACCAACCAAAAAAUAAACCCAUGUUUCUAAUUAUUUGUAAAAGGAAAAUGUUUAAUUGAUAAAAUUUCUUUCAUUUUUUUUGUUGUUUUAAUGUUUUGUAAUAUUAUAUAUUUAUAUCAGUAAAACAUAAUUAAAAAGAUAGCAUCUGGCAAUUAAAUUUGGGGAAAUAACAUGGUCCUACUAUUGUAGUACUUCUACUGUCCCCCACGAGGACAAAAUAAAUACCGUGAACAUAUAAUCGGGCAUAGGCAAUAGCUGAUAAAGCGUAAUAAUUUGUUUUUAUAAUUUACAAAACAUUGUAUGAUUUCAAAAAAGAAUUAUUUUCAACAUUAAUAUUACUUGAGUUAAAAAAUAUAAUUUCUUGGUGUAUUUUUUUAAUUUUAUAAUAAAAAUCAUAUGGCUUCCUAUUUAGUAAUUCCUUG